RNAcentral lists this ribosomal RNA (253 nucleotides) under uncultured bacterium. RNAcentral's name for it is "partial 16S ribosomal RNA". It matches the Rfam family "Bacterial small subunit ribosomal RNA", at positions 524 to 776 of the family's 1533-position model. The record is from RNAcentral.
UACGGAGGGUGCGAGCGUUGUCCGGAUUUAUUGGGUUUAAAGGGUGCGUAGGCGGUUGUAUAAGUCAGUGGUGAAAUGCUGAUGCUUAACAUUAGAAUUGCCAUAGAUACUGUAUAGCUAGAGUAUAAAUGAGGUAGCUGGAACGAGUGGUGUAGCGGUGAAAUGCAUAGAUAUCACUCAGAACACCGAUUGCGAAGGCAGGCUACUAAUUUAUAACUGACGCUGAGGCACGAAAGCAUGGGGAUCAAACAGG